Regulatory RNA element from Cellulomonas sp. Leaf395, 89 nucleotides. It matches the Rfam family "ZMP/ZTP riboswitch aptamer (pfl RNA motif)". From Rfam's summary of the family: Previously known as pfl RNA. ZMP is also known as AICAR. The record is from Rfam. NCBI's taxonomy places the organism in Bacteria, Bacillati, Actinomycetota, Actinomycetes, Micrococcales, Cellulomonadaceae.
UGUCCCGGUCGCGACUGGCGCAGCAGGUGGGUCACCACCGGGGAGCGACGCAGCAGCAGACCAACGGGUCGGACGCCUGGGCCCCCGGU